Molecule: ribosomal RNA, 969 nt
Filed under: uncultured bacterium
Lineage: Bacteria
Description: bacterial SSU rRNA
Rfam family: Bacterial small subunit ribosomal RNA
Source: RNAcentral
CUUGAAUGAAUAAGCCACGGCUAAUUCGUGCAGCAGCCGCGGUAAUACGGAGUGGCAAGCGUUAUCGAAUAUGGGCGUAAGCGUCCGCAGGCCGCCCUCAAGUCUGCUGUUAAAAAGUGGAGCUUAACUCCAUCAUGGCAGUGGAAACUGUUGGGCUUGAGUGUGGUAGGGGCAGAGGGAAUUCCCGGUGUAGCGGUGAAAUGCGUAGAUAUCGGGAAGAACACCAGUGGCGAAGGCGCUCUGCUGGGCCAUCACUGACGCUCAUGGACGAAAGCCAGGGGAGCGAAAGGGAUUAGAUACCCCUGUAGUCCUGGCCGUAAACGAUGAACACUAGGUGUCGGGGGAAUCGACCCCCUCGGUGUCGUAGCCAACGCGUUAAGUGUUCCGCCUGGGGAGUACGCACGCAAGUGUGAAACUCAAAGGAAUUGACGGGGGCCCGCACAAGCGGUGGAGUAUGUGGUUUAAUUCGAUGCAACGCGAAGAACCUUACCAGGGUUUGACAUCCUGCGAAUCUCUUGGAAACAGGAGAGUGCCUUCGGGAACGCAGUGACAGGUGGUGCAUGGCUGUCGUCAGCUCGUGUCGUGAGAUGUUGGGUUAAGUCCCGCAACGAGCGCAACCCACGUCUUUAGUUGCCAGCAUUUAGUUGGGCACUCUAGAGAGACUGCCGGUGAUAAACCGGAGGAAGGUGUGGAUGACGUCAAGUCAUCAUGCCCCUUACAUCCUGGGCUACACACGUACUACAAUGCUACGGACAAAGGGCAGCAAGUUCGCGAGGACAAGCAAAUCCCAUAAACCGUGGCUCAGUUCAGAUCGUAGGCUGCAACUCGCCUACGUGAAGGCGGAAUCGCUAGUAAUCGCAGGUCAGCAUACUGCGGUGAAUACGUUCCCGGGCCUUGUACACACCGCCCGUCACACCAUGGAAGUUGGCCACGCCCGAAGCCGUUACUCCAACCCUUGUGGAGGAGGAC